Molecule: long non-coding RNA, 284 nt
Filed under: Elaeis guineensis (African oil palm)
Lineage: Eukaryota; Viridiplantae; Streptophyta; Magnoliopsida; Arecales; Arecaceae
Description: long non-coding RNA (EGUI_LNC050170)
Source: RNAcentral
CGGAGACAAGAUGAAUCUGGAUUUUGUGAAGAAGCUAGAGCUGAUAUCGGCUUAGAGAAGAUAUGCCAAGAUUUCGAUCGUCAAAUUGGUGCCCGCGACCAUGAGGGAUGAGAAUCCCAUUCUAACCAUCGAGCCAACGACUUUACUAUCGGAGGCUGUAACGAAGACUCCACUGAAAGAAGCUCACAUUAAGAAGGUACCGACAGAGAGGACACAAGUAGCGGGCAUAGUUGGUCAGCCUCAGGAGGUUCCAACAGUGGUAACGGAGACUGAAAAAUCCUCAG